Molecule: non-coding RNA, 4991 nt
Organism: Python bivittatus (Burmese python)
Lineage: Eukaryota; Metazoa; Chordata; Lepidosauria; Squamata; Pythonidae
Source: RefSeq, a predicted model, not a curated record
UGUGACUUCGACAUCUCCAUAGCCAGAAAAAGAGAGAGAGAGAGAGAGAGAGAAAGUGCUUGUGUGUGUAUAAAGAAAAGAGAAUGUUAACGUGUAAUAUAAAGCAGAUCAGAGGCACUGGGUUGGGGGUGGGGGCUAGGAUUCAUAGAGGAAGAGCCAACAAAGAGAAAAGAUUUGAGAGGGAAGCAAGAUCUGGGCUGCUUGAAAAGACUUCCCAGUUCCAAGUUUGCAAAAGGAAAAUUCCACCCUCGCUCGGCUUGGGCGAGGCCUUGUGUGUGCCCACAAUAGAUUCCAGCUGUGGAAAAUGACGUGUGCGGACAUGAAGGACUGCAAUUUCCUUUGGCAGCAAAUCUGUUCUUGCAGAGCACGCCCAGCUCUGCUCUCUUCAAACACACUCGGAGCUUCUGAAAGACGCUGCAGGUUCUGGGGUUCUCCAUGUUUCUUGCUCAAGCUUUACUAGAUGCCGCCACCGGUGGUGGUGGUGGUGGAGGAGGCGGAGGCGGAGGAGGAGGAGGAGGAGGAGGUGGUGGUGCUGGAGCAGCUCUCCUGAAGACCUUGGGAGGUGGUGGGGGUACUGGAGGUGCCCUGAUACGAGGCCUUGGUGGACUCCUGACAGGAGGAGGAGGAGGAGGUAGUGGUGGUGGUGGAGGAGGAGGAGGAGGAGGAAGAAGUGGUGGUGGCAGCAGUGGCGGCAGCAAAGCCAGCAACGUUAUGGGGCUUCUUGGAGGGCUUGUGAAUAUCAUCAGCGAAGCAGCAGCUCAGUACAAACCAGAGCCCCCUCCAGCCCCCCGCAGCCAUUUUGCCAAUGUGGAAGCCAACGAAAGCGAGGAGAUGCGCCAGUUUCGACGACUCUUUGCCCAACUGGCUGGUGAUGAUAUGGAAGUGUGUCCCACUGAGCUGAUGAAUAUCCUCAACAAGGUGAUGGCCCGGCAUCAGGACCUGCAGUCCGAAGGCUUUAGCCUGGACACUUGCCGAAGCAUGGUGGCCGUCAUGGACAGCGACGCCACGGGCAAGCUGGACUUCUAUCAGUUCCGGUAUCUGUGGAGCAACAUCAAGAAAUGGCAGUGUGCCUUCAAGCAGCACACCGGCUCGGCGGGGAGAAUCGAGAUGGGGAAUCUGCCUGCCGCUUUCAAGGCCGCGGGGUUUAAUCUCCACGAGCAGCUCUACGCCCUGAUGAUCCGCCGCUACGCCGACGAAGACGGCAGCAUGGACUUCAACAACUUCAUCAGCUGCCUGGUCCGCCUGGAUGGAAUGUUCCGUGCCUUCAAAUCUCUGGACCGGGCCGGGGAUGGAAAAGUCCAGAUGAACAUUGAAGAGUGGCUACAGCUGACCAUGUACUCUUAAGACAGCAAGUGGUGGGAAGAGGAAACCGGUGGUGUGCUCCGCCUUGGACCAUCUCUCCUACCAUAUAGGGGGUUUGGGGGAGGAGGGAUAGCUGAGAAGUAAAAUUACUUCUGCCAACCCUCAAAAUAAACCUUCCUGCUUACAGCAAGUGCCUUUGGGUUGACAGCACCUUUGGGAUAUGGAGGUUCGCCAGUGCAUGCAUUUUGUGGGAAUGCUUGCUGAUUGCUUGAAGAAAGCUUACAUUUUUGCUACGUUUUGUUUUUCGCUUGCCUGAAUUGUACAAUAGUCUAAGGUUGCAAGCUCAUGUUAGGAAUGUUGGAAGCACAUUGGAAGCUGUGGAUUAUUUCAUAGGAAGCUAGGGGAGAAAACCCAGUAUUUUGUGGCACAACAAAAUGUAUUCUGCUCUCCUUAGGUUAAUGCCUACAUUGUGCAACGAAAGGAAGCAACUGUUAUUAUUCAUUAUCCUAAAUUCUGCCCCUCUCUGCUUCAGCAGACCAUGUUUUGCUCUCCUUUCCUUACUUCAUCUCCAAUGUUGCUUUCAUCUUCUCCCCCUAAAUUGACAUUUUGGCAUUCUAAGCCCUGAAUACUCACCGCUCCUGUUAAGCUAGUUAUUCUUGUUCUUUUUAAAGUCUAAUCUGCUUUAAUUUACAGAUGUGUCUGUUGUUGAACAUAUCUGGAAUUCCAGUUAUUCCAGGAGCUCUGUGGUCUUCUUCUCAUGGAAGGGCACUCAGGAUCCUAAACUCAUUCUUGAAGGAAUAAGAUUAGGUUCUCCCAACCUAUUGCCCUCCAGAUAUGUGUAUCUGUUGCCAUCAUACUCAGCAGUGGUCACUUGGGGUGAUGGAAAUAGUGAUCUGGGAGAUUUGGAAACCAACUAGUUGUGGAAGGGUGGAAACGCAGCCAGAGGGAAAUUAUAUCUACAACUUCUGGUUUAGCAUUUUUUCAUUGCUUUUGCUGAGAGCUGGUUUGAGGCAGAAAGGAAUAAUGACAAAAAUAGAUCUUUUUCUGACUAGUUCUCAAACAUCUGUCGGUUGUAAAGAAGAGAAAAUAAACUUGGAUCAUAACGAAAGGGGGAUACUGCUAAUUGUUUGAUUGUUUUGUAGGCUGUUUUGGCAAGGGUGGCAGCAACAACAUACUUUGCAUUGUGGAAUGCCAUUCCUUUCUUUUGUGUGGUUGUCAAUCUUGAGCCAUGAGCAUUUGCUGCAGGUGGAAAAAUGAGCCCCUGGACUAAAACCUAUCACUAGAUUAUUUGUUUUUGACCUGGACAACCACUUCAGACGUGGCUGUCCUUGUUGUGACCUGAACUGGCCGAAAGAUGACACCUCUACCUCCUCUGGGACACAUCCCAGUCUUGCCCUGAGUGGAUCUUGUAGACCUCCAAAAUGUGCUUGUUCCUUCUCCCUGAUUUUGACUGGCUUUGUGCCUCAUACUGGUUUUGUUUGGGGCUUUACCCACUGUGGCUGAGCGUUUUGUGUGAAGUGGCCUUGAUGGUUUCUUGAUCCAACUCUAGUUGGAAAAGUUCUAGUUGAAAUGAUAUGAGAGCCAGCAUCUCCGAGCCAGCUCAGAGGAAGAGGUCAUCGUCUCAUUGCUUGCUCCAUGUCAGUUGUUGCAGCUCUGUCCUGUCCUUGGCCAAAAGUCUCAAAGGAUCAUUUGCUGUUCCAUAGAAGUUCCUUGCCUCAGGUUCCUUAAGGAAGAAGUUCCUUAAGGAACCCAACUGGGCAACUUUCUAAAUUGUGGACAGCCAGAUUCUGCAACUGCAGGCCUUGUUAAGACUCUGAGUGCCCAGGAUUUUUUUAAAACCUCCUCCUCAUCUCCUUGUUCUCCCUAUAUCCUAUGACCAUGUCAUUCUCUCUGCCCAUUGAAGUCAUACAUACAUAUAUACAUAUCUUUACUCCGGUCACUGGCCAGAGUAUAGCAGUCAUCAGCGGAUGGACCAAAAUAAAGCAGUUUGGUUCUAGAUCAUGGAUGCGAUCAAAGUGGGUUUGGUUUUAAUAAAAUUUAAACAGUCUACCAAAAUUUGCCCACAUGCAUGGAAAAGGAAUCAUACUGGACAAUAACAGCUAUAUAGAGAAUAAAUUGGAAUUGUCUGGGUUCUUUAUUUAAUGAGGAGUAAGAAGAUUAAGCCCUUGCAUCCUUAUAGAAAAUACAAUGUUUUGAUUGACCCUUCCGCACUUGGACAGGACCUUAGUUCCUAUGGAAUUGUUUUGUAACUGCCCUCAAGAACUGCCAUAGGGGGUGCAUUACAGCUUGCCCAGGUUAGUGUCCUCCAGAAUUUAGGGACAGUGAUAUGGGGUGGACAUUUUGGCGGCCUAAAGAAAGGGACUCGGCUGCCCUGAAAAAUGUUCCUGGGUAGGGCAGAUGGAUCCAGUUGGGCUUCUAAAUCUCAGGCCCAUUGCUUGAGUGCAAUGAGUGCUCAUUCAUAGUCUGCCAUUAGAAAGGUGUCCCUAAGGACCAUUGAAAUCAAUGGCGCAGCACCCAAGAGUGUCUGAAGAAACCCAGUCUGUUGAAAUAGCUCUUUGGGUUCUAUUUUAACUGAUCAUUUUUUCUCCUGCCUUAAAUGUUUGAUCUGAUGGUGUCGAAUGUUGACCCUGAUGUUGGUUUGGGCCAUUUGUGUUUCUCAGGAGAAUUCCAUCCUUUUAAAAGAAAAAGAAAAAAAAAAAGGAUAAUUUUAUAGGGGUGGGGCAACCAGGGGGGGAGAUAAAGAUUCACCCAGUGAAUUUGCUGCAAAUGUAUUUGCACAUUUAGAGGGAUAGUUUGGCCAAAGAAUAAGUUCAACCUUUCUUUGCCGUGUUUCCAGUGCAGUUCUUUAUUGGGGGGGGAAAAAUAUCAAAUACUACUUUAUUUUUAAUUGCUCCUCCCUGCUCGAACUACAGAAAUGCACACACAUUUUUCUUCUCUCUCUCUCUUUUCUGCAUACGCCUUUGCAAGCAAAACAAUGUCUCCCUUGAGUCAAGCUGUACUCUCAAUCAUUUUACGGGCUGGUUUCUUGGCAACAAGAGGAAGGUGCCUCCCAUUGCUUUCAGCUAAGAGGCUUUCUAACUACUCUCGCUUGCAGUUCUGAGUCUUCUGAGUGGUGUCCUAUCCAAGUAAUAACCAGGACUGACCUUGCCUUAGCUUCUUGGGAUCAGCCGUGGUCAGCCAGGUGCCUCUGUCUGCUGCGUCAGAAGAGCUGCAGCUGAUCUGCGUAGGCCAAAAUAAACAUUGCAAGCCAACGUACACAGCAAAGCUUUGGAGAAGAAGGAAUGUCACACGGAGCAGAGAAAGUGGGUGGAUGGGAAUCCUGAACCAGCUGCUUCCUUUCCAAAGGAGAGUCGAGUGUUUGGCCUUUCAGAUUAACGGACAUCAAAACCCACUAGUUUCCUGGAGACCUUUUUUUGAAGAAACAUCUUGACGGCUUUCUGAAUGUUCGUCCUAGCAAUAUAAACAUUUGCCGCUACCUCUUUUCCGUUCCAGAGACUUUGGGCAUUUUGUAUUUGUUUUCAACCGGGUCUUUGCCUCUAUUCAAAGCAAAACGCUCUUGAUUUGGAGUUUAAAGAGAAACAGAGGUUCCCUGGCAGCUAAGAAUGGGGAUGGUACCAUAGACUUCCGAGAAUACGUGAUUGGCUUAUCAGUCCUAUGUAAUCCUGCCAACACAGAGCAGACGAUUCAAA